Non-coding RNA from Lupinus albus (white lupine), 580 nucleotides. The record is from the annotation of a GenBank genome assembly. NCBI's taxonomy places the organism in Eukaryota, Viridiplantae, Streptophyta, Magnoliopsida, Fabales, Fabaceae.
GUUCUUUAGGUUUUUUUGGCUUUGGGGGGAUUUUGGGUGAGAUUGGGGAAAGGAAGUGAGAAGAAGGGAAAGUGAGAAGAUGAGGGAAAAUGAGGGAUUCUCUCUUCCGGCGAUGGCUAUGCUCCUUUCAUUCCCACGAUGAGCCAACGACGAGUCUUCCUUCAUGUCCUCUUUCUUCUAGCAGCGGCAAUGACUCCACAGUGGCAAAGGAAGCGGCGGCGAUUCGGUAGAGUCUUCGUUCACCUUGGUUCGAGGUAACCUUCUUUGAAGAAAUGGGGGAUGCAAAGAAGCCGCUCAUGAAACCCCAAUGAUGGCACGGUUUGGGACCGUUAAUGGUCGAAGACCACAGUUCUAGAACCGAUGGAGGCAAUAAACCUUGGGAUUGAGUGUGGAGGUUUAUAAUUUGGGAGGAUCUUCCCAUUGAAGAAGUUAUAGGGGGAUUUGGUUUCCUUUUAAGUGAAUGUAUCAUGCUCUUUUUGGUAUCAAAUAUUGUUUAUUUAAAACAUUAUUUUAGACAUUAUAAAUAGACAAUUUUGAAUUUCCUUAUAAUAUUUUGGGGCGGACAAAAUUGAGUACUUAC